Anopheles stephensi (Asian malaria mosquito) is the source of this 2906-nucleotide long non-coding RNA. RefSeq lists it as uncharacterized. The transcript is spliced from 5 exons. The record is from RefSeq and is a predicted model, not a curated record. NCBI's taxonomy places the organism in Eukaryota, Metazoa, Arthropoda, Insecta, Diptera, Culicidae.
CCUGUCAACGCUGACAGCUCCAACUGCGCCUGUUUGUUUAUCAACAAUCUCCGAUACAAAAUCCGCAGCAAACUUCCAUAACGCCGCAGGGACAAAACUCGAGAAACAGUGUGAUAGAUAUUAAGCAGCAACUAAGUUGAACAAAGUAAAUCGAACAGAAAACAAUAUGGCAUUCUAAAAGUUGUGCUGCCUGUGCUUUUGCCGUGACUUUUCCACCAUCGCUGUCCGAACUUUUGUGCUCAAUGCUCGAAUCGGCACGCUUUGCACGGUAAACUUUUUCAAGUGGAAAGCCGCAAAGUUGUCCUGUUAUUUAUUCUCCACCAGUGUACCAGCCAUAAUCAACGAUCCCGCGAAGGAAAAUAGAAAACCACAUGUAACAGUCACGUUCCUUUGGGCAGGAGAAAGACACACAGCAAUGAGCUUGGAAUUAUGGACGGGAAAAGCGUAAACAUGAACACAGCGAACCUCUGGCCGCGGCCGCAUUCACGACGCGAAGGCACUGUUGCGCAUCUUAUUAUCUGGCCGGAGCAGUGAGCACGAAUGUCAGAGAAAAUGUCCAAAAAGCAAAGCAAAGUCCAAAAUCAAAGCCGGACGAUGUUUGGUGGCAAACCAAAUUUCGGGCAUCAGGAAAGGAAAUAGUCACCGCCGGCAGGCAAAGACGGAGCAACGAUCGAGUUUUAGAGUUGAUGUAUUCGUUUCUACACCGAUUUGCUUCCUUCAAGAAGUCAUCCAACCUUCCCGGGGAGCCUUGUGCGGAGACGGGCGUAUGUGUUUUGAUAUGAGUGUGCUAUUGUUCACGGUCUCGGACAGACGACACUGGACACUGGUGGAGCACCGGGAAUGCAGGAGGAGGUGGUGUUAACAAUAAGCGAAACAAAUGAGGAAGAAGAGGGAUGAUAAUCACACCCAAAGGAGAUGCUGCUCCCUCCGAACGGACCCGAUACUCCGGUGGAUUUUUCCUUCGCCGUUUCCUUGGAUCCUUCAAGCGGUGAAACAAGUGCUGCUGCUGUUCCUUUCGCUGUCGGAUUGCGGGAAAAAGCCGUCGGGAAUGAAGUCGUUUUCGGCCGACGUUGGUUGAAAUUAAUGAAGCUCCCCAGCGUUGAUGACCUGCGGCAGGACAAACGCGGCCGGGAAGGAAGGAAAGUGGAGCGGAGCGUUGAAGUCAAGCCAGGGGAAGGCUUUAACCAUAGGAGGAUGUUGUGAGUAGCAAGGAUUCCUUUGAUCACAAAAAGAGGCAUACGAUAUCUACAGUGCGUACUGAGUGGAGAGUUUUUCUUUACUCUGAAAUGUUUCAAUAAUUUUAUUUUAAGUACAUUUCCAAAGUUGAACUUCAAGUUGCAUAAAAUCGCCACAGAAACAGGCUCAAAAUCAAUUGGAUCUGUUUAGAGCUAAUUUGCUCGUUCUUUCGCUUAAACGCAUUCGUUCUGGUUCCCCCGCCAAUGAGCAAUAAUUGAAAGUAGUCGCGUGAUCUUUUCAAAAAUAUAACCCAAACCCAGCACUGUUCUUCAUUAGUCCCUCGGACUGCGUUUCCAAUAAUACAUUCGUGCUGUUGUAUGUCGCACCUACCGACAAAUUGAUCGUCUUUAGCCGUACUGCUGCACGCAUUGCUCAUAGCGACGUUCGGACAGACUCACUCAGUGCUCAGAAUCAGGCAUCUUCCUUAAGGUGCACAACCAACCCUUCGCCAGCACGAUGUGCAACCCUCGAGCGCACCGAAACAAAAAACGCCCGUCAGAGUCGGCACGAAAGCUUAUAAUUGAUGCCCAAACAGACUCAGCCGUUCCGAACCAGUUCCAGGGCUCGGCGCAACACACGCCAGGCAAGCGCAUACGCAAGUCCCAAGACACCGGGAUGCGCAAAACCGCCCCCCGGGGCAAUAAAUUGUGAAGAGAUAAUAAGAACGAACGUUAAAAGGAUAGUAAAACCGAAAAUUGAAAACAGCAGAAAUAAUUUCAAGAUAAUUUACCGCGCGAGAGUCGACGUUGGACGUUAAGACGUUAAGAGGCGUUGCUGUCUUUUUCUUCGGUUUUUGGGGGGCUGCCUAUGUUUUUCCGCGCUUCGGUGAGGUGUUUUUAAGGGGCAUUUCAUGUUGGCUGCUUGUUUGUGAAGCCAUUGUUCAGCGGCAUCGGCAUAACGAGUGUGUGAUCGUGUCGGAGUUCUCGAAUGCUGGGCAAAUAUGUUUAGUCGGCUGGGAUGAGAGCGCACUUCCAGUGGUUUACCUUUGAAAGCCUUCCCGAACGGCGGUUCCUUGCCAACGAAUGCCAACAACGCUUUGCGCUCAUUAGGUGUGCCAAAUUGCUCUAUCAACAUUCAGAUGCAUUCGGAUAUCUCGGGCAGAAGAGGAGGAAGCAGGAAGCCGGUGAAGGGAAAGGUUUAAAAAUAUGUCCAAAAGAGGUGGACACUUGUUUUCUAUUUCUGCGUUCACCUCACUCACCAAACCCACAACAAUAUGGCGACCCGGAGAUCCUUGCGCACGCCGGACACAAAUGGAGCAAGCAUUUUCUUCUCUUCAACCCGUCGGGGAAAUUAACAUUCACGAGCAACAACAAGCGGGAAAACUCUUUGUGUUUUUUUUUCUCUCUCUCUAUGGUUUCUGUUUUUAGAGGCAGCAUGUGCAAGCGUCCCCUAGGGGAAAGGCGAAUGGAAAUUAAUGUGUCACUUCCGGCACAACAGCAGCAGCAGCAGCGAAGGCAAGAUAAGAUUUUAUCAACGCGAACGUGUUGUGGUUGCUGUCUUGUACAAGGGUUGAAUGUGUAUUGGCUGGCAUUAUUCAGUUGUUUAUUUAAUGCUUGUACCUAUUUUAAAUAAAACCAUCUAAAAAUAGUGAUUAUUAUUUUCGAUGAGAGUGAGCAGAGAAAAAUGAGGCAAACCCCCCCGCUCAACUCGAAGCGCAUUUGAAAGCGUUC